CGCGUAGGUAACCUGCCUUGUAGCGGGGGAUAACUAUUGGAAACGAUAGCUAAUACCGCAUAACAAUUGGUGACACAUGUCAUUUAUUUGAAAGGGGCAAUUGCUCCACUACAAGAUGGACCUGCGUUGUAUUAGCUAGUAGGUGAGGUAACGGCUCACCUAGGCGACGAUACAUAGCCGACCUGAGAGGGUGAUCGGCCACACUGGGACUGAGACACGGCCCAG
This 225-nucleotide ribosomal RNA is filed under the name uncultured Streptococcaceae bacterium. RNAcentral describes it as "partial 16S ribosomal RNA". It matches the Rfam family "Bacterial small subunit ribosomal RNA", at positions 114 to 334 of the family's 1533-position model. Lineage: Bacteria; Bacillati; Bacillota; Bacilli; Lactobacillales; Streptococcaceae. The record is from RNAcentral.